Molecule: ribosomal RNA, 518 nt
Filed under: uncultured bacterium
Lineage: Bacteria
Description: bacterial SSU rRNA
Rfam family: Bacterial small subunit ribosomal RNA
Source: RNAcentral
AGAGUUGAUCCUGGCUUAAGAUGAACGCUAGCGGCAGGCUUAACACAUGCAAGGUCGAGGGGCAGCGGGAUGUAGCAAUACAUUGCCGGCGACCGGCGGAUGGGUGCGUAACGCGUAUGCAACCUACCUAUACAGGGGAAUAACCUUUCGAAAGGGAGACUAACACCCCAUAGUAUUGAUUUAAGGCAUCUUAGAUUAAUUAAAUAUUUAUAGGUAUAAGAUGGGCAUGCGUAUGAUUAGCUAGUUGGUAAGGUAACGGCUUACCAAGGCGACGAUCAUUAGGGGUUCUGAGAGGAAGGUCCCCCCACACUGGUGCUGAGACACGGACCAGACUCCUACGGGAGGCAGCAGUGAGGAAUAUUGGUCAAUGGGCGCAAGCCUGAACCAGCCAUGCCGCGUGCAGGAAAGACGGCCUUAUGGGUUGUAAACUGCUUUUACAUAAGACUAACCGUAUAUUUGCGAAUAUACCUGAAUGUAUUAUGAGAAUAAGGAUCGGCUAACUCCGUGCCAGCAGCCGC